UAGGGAAUCUUCCACAAUGGCGCAAGCCUGAUGGAGCAACACCGCGUGAGUGAAGAAGGGUUUCGGCUCGUAAAGCUCUGUUGUUGGAGAAGAACGUGCGUGAGAGUAACUGUUCACGCAGUGACGGUAUCCAACCAGAAAGUCACGGCUAACUACGUGCCAC
Molecule: ribosomal RNA, 163 nt
Filed under: uncultured bacterium
Lineage: Bacteria
Description: partial 16S rRNA
Rfam family: Bacterial small subunit ribosomal RNA
Source: RNAcentral